Helicoverpa armigera (cotton bollworm) is the source of this 1718-nucleotide long non-coding RNA. RefSeq lists it as uncharacterized. The record is from RefSeq and is a predicted model, not a curated record. NCBI's taxonomy places the organism in Eukaryota, Metazoa, Arthropoda, Insecta, Lepidoptera, Noctuidae. The transcript has 4 exons.
GUGAGUUUCCGGCCAAAUAUCGAACAUCGAGUGAAUGAAUUGACUGUCGGCGUUCAUCAUUUUUUUCGCGUCGCCAUUUUUUUUUACACGUUUCUGUUUAUUUUGUUAGUUUUGUUAGUUGUAUAUUAUUUAUAACAGUGUACUUAACGUUAAGGUGUUGCUUACAUUUGUUGCAUCUGGGUUUUGGCUUGCAUCUUAGGAUAUAGCACCAUGGCUCUUAGUGACGAGCUAGCUCAAUUAAAGCUCCGUAGGGGCUAUGUAAAGGGUGCAAUAACUCGUGAAGAAAGUUUUUGUAACAGCGAAGAAAUUGUGAUCGCGUCUAGUGAGUUGCUCACAGAGCGGCGCAGUCGCUUGGCGAAAAACUUUGCCUCUUACGAGGACCUAAACAAGAGUAUUUUGUGCAUAAAUCCAAAGGACGAUGAAGACCCUUUUGUGUAUGAAAGAAUUCAUAGAUUUUUUGGAGUCCAGAGCGUUGGCCAGGGAGAAUGCAAUGGAAACAAUGCCUGUGAGUACUCCCAGUGGUGUGAAGCCUGGCAAGCCUGCAUGUAAUACAGCAGCAGCAGUCUCAUGUGCUUCAGAGGGAAUCACUACCUUUAACGCCGCAAGGUCCCUACCUGGUUAGUACCAGCCUAGGUUAUAUUGUAGCAGGCAGCCUACCAGUAUCUGUUGGAAACAUCCAUUCUUCAAAGGACAUUGUUCAAUUUUGGCCUAAGAACCGAUGUGAAUAUAAAUUAUACUAUAAUUUUCAUUUAAUUUUUUAUUGUUUGAAACAUAUUUUCGUUUUCCACGGACACUUCAAAUAAAUAAAUUCCAAAUAAAAAGUUGGGUCACAAUUAUUGAUGCCUUAUAAAAUGUUUCCGUCAGCCAGUGCUGCCAGUUUCGGAAGUUUUCGCGAUUUCGGUAAAUACGGAAAGAAUUGAGAACCUCCUUUCCGAAGUCGGUUAUUAGAAUUAGUUGCUAACACUUUAUUCAUUUAAAUACCUAAAUUGACUAGCUAGAAAAAAACUAGUAUUCUGUAUGUUUUAAGCGAAAUCGCGAAUUUCUAGCUUGGCAUUCGAGUAGGAUUAUAGUUUUCGUAAUUGGCAACACUGGUGUACUUCAGUCAGUUUGCUAGAAGUCAGUUUGAUUGCUUUGAGACUAUCGUUUCUUUUGUGAUUUUCUAUACGUUUCAUGGUUUUAUUCUAACAACUUUGGCUUGAUUACGGACUCCGAUUAGAUUGCGUACUUGGUAGACUCGGCUGUGUGUAAAGGACUGGAUUUUCCUGGCAUUUUCGGAUAUUGCUCUGUCUGUGAUCGAAUUUAGUUGUAUUAUAAUUACAACAAUGGAUGCAGAAUAUAGUACCUAUAUUGUAUAAAUUGUGGAUCUGCUGGAGGUUCUUUGGUAUUAGAAAACGAAGAUAUACUUCGUUGCAUACAACAAUGGACUGUUCCCCGUAUGGUUGAAGCUCAUGACCUUAUAUGUACGACGUGUUGGUCUGAAGCAGUCGAGCAUAAUAAGAUGCAAUGCACUGUUGGACGCAAUUGUGUACUUUGUAAGAAGCUCCUACCAUCAGGCAUUACUGUUGCAAUUGUAUCGUUGGGCGUAGAACAGUGGGCUGUUGUGCCCACAUAAUGACUAUAAUUUGGUAUUUAAGCUGGGCGAGAUACCCCCUGCCCAGUUCUUAGAUAAUAUAUUAUUGAGAAAUAUUGAUGAUUAAAAACCUUUAAUUGAAUAUAAA